CUCAACAAACCAUAAGGACAUUGGUACUUUAUACUUCAUAUUUGGAGCAUGAGCAGGAAUAGUAGGAACAUCAAUAAGAAUACUUAUUCGUGCUGAACUUGGCCAACCCAGAUCUCUAAUUGGGGAUGACCAGAUUUAUAAUGUUAUUAUUACAGCUCACGCAUUCGUAAUAAUUUUCUUUAUAGUAAUACCUAUUAUAAUUGGUGGAUUUGGUAAUUGACUUGUUCCACUAAUAAUUGGUGCACCAGAUAUAGCAUUUCCACGAAUAAAUAAUAUAAGUUUUUGAUUACUACCACCUUCACUAACCCUUCUUCUUACAUCUUCUAUAGUAGAUAAUGGUGCUGGUACAGGAUGAACAGUUUACCCUCCUCUCGCAGGAGCUAUUGCACACGGGGGUGCAUCUGUAGAUCUAGCUAUUUUUUCACUGCACUUAGCAGGUGUAUCAUCUAUUCUUGGUGCAGUGAAUUUCAUUACAACAGCAAUUAAUAUACGAUCAGAAAGUAUAACUUUAGAUCAAACACCUUUAUUUGUAUGAUCUGUAGCUAUUACAGCAUUACUUCUCCUUCUUUCACUUCCAGUUUCAGCAGGAGCUAUUACUAUAUUAUUAACAGAUCGAAAUUUAAAUACAUCAUUCUUUGACCCUGCAGGAGGGGGUGACCCAAUUCUAUAUCAACAUCUAUUUUGAUUCUUUGGACACCCAGAAGUUUAUAUUUUAAUUCUACCGGGGUUCGGAAUUAUUUCACAUAUUGUAUGUCAAGAAAGAGGAAAAAUUGAAUCAUUUGGAACAUUAGGUAUAAUUUAUGCUAUACUAUCAAUUGGACUAAUAGGAUUUAUUGUAUGAGCACAUCAUAUAUUUACAGUAGGAAUGGAUGUUGACACACGAGCAUAUUUUACAUCAGCAACAAUAAUUAUUGCUGUACCUACAGGAAUUAAGGUAUUUAAAUGAUUAGCUACAUUAUAUGGAACUAAAUUCAAGUUCAAUCCACCAUUAUUAUUAGCUCUAGGAUUUAUUUUCCUAUUUACAAUUGGUGGAUUUACAGGAUUAGUAUUAGCAAAUUCAUCACUUGAUAUUGUAUUACAUGAUACAUAUUAUGUAGUAGCCCACUUUCAUUAUGUAUUAUCUAUAGGAGCAGUAUUUGCAAUUAUAGGAGGUGUCAUUCAAUGAUAUCCACUAUUUACAGGAUUAACUAUAAAUAAUACAUGAUUAAAAAUCCAAUUUACAAUUAUAUUCAUUGGAGUAAAUUUAACAUUCUUUCCUCAACACUUCCUAGGAUUAGCAGGAAUACCUCGACGAUACUCUGACUACCCAGACGCAUAUACAUCAUGAAACGUAGUAUCAAGAAUUGGGUCUACAAUUUCUAUUGUAGGAAUCAUUAUAUUCAUUGUAAUUAUAUGAGAAAGAAUGAUUACAAACCGAGCAAUUAUAUUUAGAGCUAACAUAAGAAGAUCAACAGAAUGACUACAAAAUAACCCUCCUGCAGAACAUAGUUACUCAGAAUUACCAUUAAUCUCUAGAU
Molecule: long non-coding RNA, 1517 nt
Organism: Schistocerca gregaria
Lineage: Eukaryota; Metazoa; Arthropoda; Insecta; Orthoptera; Acrididae
Exons: 2
Source: RefSeq, a predicted model, not a curated record